This 497-nucleotide ribosomal RNA is filed under the name uncultured bacterium. RNAcentral's name for it is "partial 16S ribosomal RNA". The stretch from base 16 to 379 matches the Rfam family "Bacterial small subunit ribosomal RNA", at positions 43 to 396 of the family's 1533-position model. The record is from RNAcentral.
GAUGAACGCUGGCGGCGUGCCUAAUACAUGCAAGUCGAGCGAACAGACGAGGAGCUUGCUCCUCUGACGUUAGCGGCGGACGGGUGAGUAACACGUGGAUAACCUACCUAUAAGACUGGGAUAACUUCGGGAAACCGGAGCUAAUACCGGAUAAUAUAUUGAACCGCAUGGUUCAAUAGUGAAAGACGGUUUUGCUGUCACUUAUAGAUGGAUCCGCGCCGCAUUAGCUAGUUGGUAAGGUAACGGCUUACCAAGGCAACGAUGCGUAGCCGACCUGAGAGUGGGAUGGGGCAGACUGGAACUGAGGCACGGUGCAGAGUGUGACGGGAGGCAGCAGGAUGGAAGUGUACGCAGGGGUUGCAAACCGGAUAGAACAAUGAGGAGGGAGAGAGAAAGGUGUUAUGAACCGAAAACUGUGAGACGACAGAAAAACAAAAAGCCAAGGAAAGAGGCGCGGCGGGACGGGCCCUAAGAAGAGAACAACGGCGAACUACGUG